GUAGCCUACGGGGCGCAGCAGUGAGGAAUAUUAGUCAAUGGGCGGAAGCCUGAACCAGCCAAGUCGCGUGAGGGAAGAAGGCCCUGCGGGUCGCAGACCUCUUUGGACGGGGAGCAAGGCCGCCGACGUGUCGGCGGAAGGAGAGUACCCGUAGAAAAAGCAUCGGCUAACUCCGUGCCAGCAGCCGCGGUAAUACGGAGGAUGCGAGCGUUAUCCGGAUUUAUUGGGUUUAAAGGGGGCGCAGGCGGUCUGUUAAGUCAGCGGUCAAAGCCCGGGGCUCAAACCCGGGCCGCCGUUGAAACUGG
RNAcentral lists this ribosomal RNA (305 nucleotides) under uncultured bacterium. RNAcentral describes it as "bacterial SSU rRNA". It matches the Rfam family "Bacterial small subunit ribosomal RNA", at positions 333 to 636 of the family's 1533-position model. The record is from RNAcentral.